UGGCGAUCGUCGGCGUCAUUCCCACGACUCGGCGGGGAGCCCCCGGGAAACCAAAGUUUUUGAGUUCCGGGGGAAGUAUGGUUGCAAAGCUGAAACUUAAAGGAAUUGACGGAAGGGCACCACCAGGAGUGGAGCCUGCGGCUUAAUUUGACUCAACACGGGGAACCUCACCAGGCCCAGACACCGGAAGGAUUGACAGAUUGAGAGCUCUUUCUCGAUUCGGUGGGUGGUGGUGCAUGGCCGUUCUUAGUUGGUGGAGCGAUCUGUCUGGUUGAUUCCGAUAACGAACGAGACUCUAGCCUGCUAACUAGUCGGCGGAUCGACUCCCGAGACGGGUUUCCUUCCGCGGGGGCUUAGGGCGGGGGUAGCUCACGAGGGGCUCGUCGUUUCUCUCGUUCUCGGCAACGCGGGUUGGUCGGUCGGAGGGGGAUGAUGAAGCCGAAGAGGUCGAUGAAGGAGAGAAGCGGUAAUAACGGUGGUCGUCGUCGGUGAAGCCAAAAGCGGAGCUGUACGGCAACUACCGCUACUGCUGCGGUUCCUCCCGAAUCUCUCUCUCUCGUUCUUUCUCUCUCCCCCUUUUUUUCCUUCC
This 589-nucleotide ribosomal RNA is filed under the name Spherillo sp. Ishinomaki1. RNAcentral describes it as "bacterial SSU rRNA". It matches the Rfam family "Eukaryotic small subunit ribosomal RNA", at positions 1047 to 1404 of the family's 1831-position model. Lineage: Eukaryota; Metazoa; Arthropoda; Malacostraca; Isopoda; Armadillidae. The record is from RNAcentral.